RNA transcript from Mauremys mutica (yellowpond turtle), 990 nucleotides. It is a transcript of the gene named shisa like 2A, with no coding region annotated. NCBI's taxonomy places the organism in Eukaryota, Metazoa, Chordata, Testudines, Geoemydidae. The record is from RefSeq and is a predicted model, not a curated record. The transcript has 5 exons.
GCUCUCUGAGCAUCCUCUGUCCAUGAGGCUGAGUGACUGUGACACAGAGAUGCCCAGGCAUACCCACGCAGGUAUAUUGCCUAUUGUCAUGGUGACUGUGUGAUGUUUGUACAGGAAAUAAUUCUAGAGUUAUGCAAGAUGUAGGAUAUUGGGUUUCUUAACUGUUGGGUGAAACUUGUCAUCUGAGGUGAGGCAGGUGUCAAGACUAACUCAGUCAGCACUGAGAACAAUGGACAACCGUAGAGCCAGCCCUAUGUUUACUGUCUGGACCAGAUGCAGGCUGAGGAUUUAUAAAGACAAAAGAACCCCAAGGAAAGUCUCUUAAUAGGGGAUCCCUAGGUGUUGGUGCACUUGUGGGUCUGUCGAUAGCAGCGGUGGUCCUGCUUGCUUUUAUCAUCACAGUGUGUGUUCUCUGUUACUUGUUUAUCAGUACGAAGCCACGCAGCAAGCUGGAUACAGGUUUAAGCUUGCAGACAGCAGGCAGAGAGACUAGAGGGAGUUCCUUGUGAAAUAUAUAAAGGCACUGGACUGGAUUCCCACAGUGCUGCAAUACAGUAGCCCUAGAACAGCUACAGACUGAGAAGCCGCAGUGCAAGCUUUCUCCCAUCAUCCCACACUAAUCUCUGUCCUGGAAGGACCAUCUCUGGGGGCAAGAAGGCAUGGAACUGUAUCCUUCAGAAGGCACCAGCUGGCAGUGCAUUUGCAGAGCCAAAUGGAUUCAGGAAAUGCUUCCUUAGCCAUAAACUGGACUGUGAUAACCAGUCCCGAGACCCUGACAGACUUUCCAGAGGUGUUUUAUGGCAACUGUAACCACCAUUAACAUCUGGGGGCAACAUGAAGCUGUGCCUGGUUAUGUGUUUCGUACAGCCAUUAAUGUGCAGAUGUUGUAUUGAGAGGCAAUGGUGUAUUUUGAUUUUUUUUUUCAUAGACUUAAGGUCAGAAGGGACCAUUAUGGUCAUCUAGUCUGACCUCCUGCACAGAAUCUCACCC